Sycon ciliatum is the source of this 918-nucleotide long non-coding RNA. RefSeq lists it as uncharacterized. Lineage: Eukaryota; Metazoa; Porifera; Calcarea; Leucosolenida; Sycettidae. The transcript has 3 exons. The record is from RefSeq and is a predicted model, not a curated record.
AGGGUUUGAAGCGUCUCCUCUACAAUAUCCACUGUACUAGGUUUGGUAGUGAGGUAUCUGUGUGACUUUCAGCACUUUUCAAUGACAAUGGCGGGACCAAUGAGACCCGGCGACAACUUUCUCACUUCCUCAGGCUCUGCAGUGUCGCCUCCCAGGUACUGUACUGUAGUAGGUAAAUGCUAGUCAGUUCAGUUACUAGUUGUACUUGGUUCACUGGGUCUGGAAAGACUGCACUGAGCCGCUGCUCGUAGAUCUACUCGUUGUCGUAGUUGAACUGAGAAGCACAAUGUAGCUUGUGCUUGCUUACUUUACUGCUCGUUUUGCGCCCUGUCCGUAACAAAUACGGUUUACCGGUAGUGACAGGGAAGGAAAUUCCACAAAGGUUGGCGAGCCGCUACAUGUAGUUUCCGGGUGCAUUCACUCGCGGCAAAAGAUGUAGGUACCAACACCAGCAAUAGCAACAGCAUGCUCGCAGCUGGGUCGCUGACAGUCCCAGCAGUCACUACAAAGUACAAGGUCUCGGGACGUUCACAUGAUUCCAGCAGAAGAUGCCAGAAUAUUUCUGCAGCGCAUAUCCAGGAUAUCACCUCGGCUAGCGCAAGCCUUGUUGGCUAAGUCAGUAUGCACGGCUGGGUUCCACAGCACUACAUGCAGUGGGUUGAAGGACUGGAGUCCAGCCAUCCACACAAGACUCCAUGCCAAGCUCAAGUGCUGCUCACUGAAAUCCAGUCGUGAGAGUCAAGUUGGCACCGUGCACCUUUCGCAGCCCAGUCAGUGUUCGCAUAUGCCUACUGUGCAAAGCCCGGCGUGUACUUGAGAAACUUGACUGGAUGUCAAUAAGCAGUCCUGUAGUUAGAGCAUUGAAAGCAUAAUUACCGGUAUACAUGUAGUUUCCAUGUGUUGUAUACUAGUACAUGU